UAUCACAUGAUAAAGUGAUAACGUAAGUUUCAUCAUGGGCGACGGUUGUGGACAAACUGUUCUGUUCAAAAGAUCACAGAGGAAAUGGCGUCUUCUGCUCAGUUUUAAGAAAAUUACGGGAAAAUGCACUGUUUAUGAUGUCAUAAUUACACUUGUGAAAGUCUUUCUAGCUGUGUGGGAGUAGAGGAGAAUUCCUAAAGUAGUAAAGAACCCUGUUCCAAAUUCAACCCCAUUAUUAAAGAUACUUGAUCAAUUCUAUUUAUUAAGAAGAUCUUAACGAUCGGUUCCGACAUCCAAACCUAGAGAUACAGCUAUUCAUGCAACUGGAAUUAUAUGCUGACGUGAAAGACAAUCUGACAUGACUUACUCUGUUUCAAUUUGAUUGAUAUAACAAAACUGUACUAUCGUUCUCUUAAUAAAAGAGUAUACAAGAUCUAUCUUCUUGUUUUGCAACAAAGCAGCACCGUAAAAACCUCUUGAAAUGUCUUCGAUAUCUUUCGACAAACUAACUGCGUAGUUUCCUUUGUUUUGUUUUUUUCUAAAUAUAGAACUAUAGCUUAUUAGUUAACUCGUACGAAAACAUUUCUUUAUUUCAAACCGACAAUAUAUUGAAUAUUGCAACUUGAUUUUAAUUAAUGAAAAAUAACGCUACGGUCAUUUGGAUGAACAGUAGAUCCU
This is a long non-coding RNA of Magallana angulata, 678 nucleotides long. RefSeq lists it as uncharacterized. The record is from RefSeq and is a predicted model, not a curated record. Lineage: Eukaryota; Metazoa; Mollusca; Bivalvia; Ostreida; Ostreidae. The transcript is spliced from 3 exons.